UUAAGCGACUAAGCGUACACGGUGGAUGCCCUGGCAGUCAGAGGCGAUGAAGGACGUGCUAAUCUGCGAUAAGCGUCGGUAAGGUGAUAUGAACCGUUAUAACCGGCGAUUUCCGAAUGGGGAAACCCAGUGUGAUUCGUCACACUAUCAUUAACUGAAUCCAUAGGUUAAUGAGGCGAACCGGGGGAACUGAAACAUCUAAGUACCCCGAGGAAAAGAAAUCAACCGAGAUUCCCCCAGUAGCGGCGAGCGAACGGGGAGCAGCCCAGAGCCUGAAUCAGUGUGUGUGUUAGUGGAAGCGUCUGGAAAGGCGCGCGAUACAGGGUGACAGCCCCGUACACAAAAAUGCACAUGCUGUGAGCUCGAUGAGUAGGGCGGGACACGUGGUAUCCUGUCUGAAUAUGGGGGGACCAUCCUCCAAGGCUAAAUACUCCUGACUGACCGAUAGUGAACCAGUACCGUGAGGGAAAGGCGAAAAGAACCCCGGCGAGGGGAGUGAAAAAGAACCUGAAACCGUGUACGUACAAGCAGUGGGAGCACGCUUAGGCGUGUGACUGCGUACCUUUUGUAUAAUGGGUCAGCGACUUAUAUUCUGUAGCAAGGUUAACCGAAUAGGGGAGCCGAAGGGAAACCGAGUCUUAACUGGGCGUUAAGUUGCAGGGUAUAGACCCGAAACCCGGUGAUCUAGCCAUGGGCAGGUUGAAGGUUGGGUAACACUAACUGGAGGACCGAACCGACUAAUGUUGAAAAAUUAGCGGAUGACUUGUGGCUGGGGGUGAAAGGCCAAUCAAACCGGGAGAUAGCUGGUUCUCCCCGAAAGCUAUUUAGGUAGCGCCUCGUGAAUUCAUCUCCGGGGGUAGAGCACUGUUUCGGCAAGGGGGUCAUCCCGACUUACCAACCCGAUGCAAACUGCGAAUACCGGAGAAUGUUAUCACGGGAGACACACGGCGGGUGCUAACGUCCGUCGUGAAGAGGGAAACAACCCAGACCGCCAGCUAAGGUCCCAAAGUCAUGGUUAAGUGGGAAACGAUGUGGGAAGGCCCAGACAGCCAGGAUGUUGGCUUAGAAGCAGCCAUCAUUUAAAGAAAGCGUAAUAGCUCACUGGUCGAGUCGGCCUGCGCGGAAGAUGUAACGGGGCUAAACCAUGCACCGAAGCUGCGGCAGCGACGCUUAUGCGUUGUUGGGUAGGGGAGCGUUCUGUAAGCCUGUGAAGGUGUGCUGUGAGGCAUGCUGGAGGUAUCAGAAGUGCGAAUGCUGACAUAAGUAACGAUAAAGCGGGUGAAAAGCCCGCUCGCCGGAAGACCAAGGGUUCCUGUCCAACGUUAAUCGGGGCAGGGUGAGUCGACCCCUAAGGCGAGGCCGAAAGGCGUAGUCGAUGGGAAACAGGUUAAUAUUCCUGUACUUGGUGUUACUGCGAAGGGGGGACGGAGAAGGCUAUGUUGGCCGGGCGACGGUUGUCCCGGUUUAAGCGUGUAGGCUGGUUUUCCAGGCAAAUCCGGAAAAUCAAGGCUGAGGCGUGAUGACGAGGCACUACGGUGCUGAAGCAACAAAUGCCCUGCUUCCAGGAAAAGCCUCUAAGCAUCAGGUAACAUCAAAUCGUACCCCAAACCGACACAGGUGGUCAGGUAGAGAAUACCAAGGCGCUUGAGAGAACUCGGGUGAAGGAACUAGGCAAAAUGGUGCCGUAACUUCGGGAGAAGGCACGCUGAUAUGUAGGUGAAGUCCCUCGCGGAUGGAGCUGAAAUCAGUCGAAGAUACCAGCUGGCUGCAACUGUUUAUUAAAAACACAGCACUGUGCAAACACGAAAGUGGACGUAUACGGUGUGACGCCUGCCCGGUGCCGGAAGGUUAAUUGAUGGGGUCAGCGCAAGCGAAGCUCUUGAUCGAAGCCCCGGUAAACGGCGGCCGUAACUAUAACGGUCCUAAGGUAGCGAAAUUCCUUGUCGGGUAAGUUCCGACCUGCACGAAUGGCGUAAUGAUGGCCAGGCUGUCUCCACCCGAGACUCAGUGAAAUUGAACUCGCUGUGAAGAUGCAGUGUACCCGCGGCAAGACGGAAAGACCCCGUGAACCUUUACUAUAGCUUGACACUGAACAUUGAGCCUUGAUGUGUAGGAUAGGUGGGAGGCUUUGAAGUGUGGACGCCAGUCUGCAUGGAGCCGACCUUGAAAUACCACCCUUUAAUGUUUGAUGUUCUAACGUUGACCCGUAAUCCGGGUUGCGGACAGUGUCUGGUGGGUAGUUUGACUGGGGCGGUCUCCUCCUAAAGAGUAACGGAGGAGCACGAAGGUUGGCUAAUCCUGGUCGGACAUCAGGAGGUUAGUGCAAUGGCAUAAGCCAGCUUGACUGCGAGCGUGACGGCGCGAGCAGGUGCGAAAGCAGGUCAUAGUGAUCCGGUGGUUCUGAAUGGAAGGGCCAUCGCUCAACGGAUAAAAGGUACUCCGGGGAUAACAGGCUGAUACCGCCCAAGAGUUCAUAUCGACGGCGGUGUUUGGCACCUCGAUGUCGGCUCAUCACAUCCUGGGGCUGAAGUAGGUCCCAAGGGUAUGGCUGUUCGCCAUUUAAAGUGGUACGCGAGCUGGGUUUAGAACGUCGUGAGACAGUUCGGUCCCUAUCUGCCGUGGGCGCUGGAGAACUGAGGGGGGCUGCUCCUAGUACGAGAGGACCGGAGUGGACGCAUCACUGGUGUUCGGGUUGUCAUGCCAAUGGCACUGCCCGGUAGCUAAAUGCGGAAGAGAUAAGUGCUGAAAGCAUCUAAGCACGAAACUUGCCCCGAGAUGAGUUCUCCCUGACUCCUUGAGAGUCCUGAAGGAACGUUGAAGACGACGACGUUGAUAGGCCGGGUGUGUAAGCGCAGCGAUGCGUUGAGCUAACCGGUACUAAUGAACCGUGAGGCUUAACCU
RNAcentral lists this ribosomal RNA (2901 nucleotides) under Escherichia coli. RNAcentral describes it as "23S ribosomal RNA". It matches the Rfam family "Bacterial large subunit ribosomal RNA". The record is from RNAcentral. Lineage: Bacteria; Pseudomonadati; Pseudomonadota; Gammaproteobacteria; Enterobacterales; Enterobacteriaceae.